Molecule: non-coding RNA, 409 nt
Organism: Paenibacillaceae bacterium GAS479
Lineage: Bacteria; Bacillati; Bacillota; Bacilli; Caryophanales; Paenibacillaceae
Rfam family: Bacterial RNase P class A
About the family: Ribonuclease P (RNase P) is a ubiquitous endoribonuclease, found in archaea, bacteria and eukarya as well as chloroplasts and mitochondria. Its best characterised activity is the generation of mature 5'-ends of tRNAs by cleaving the 5'-leader elements of precursor-tRNAs.
Source: Rfam
AAAGUCUGACAGACAAUCGCUGGCGGCGCGAGCCGCGAGAGGAAAGUCCGGGCUCCACAGGGCAGGAUGCUGGAUAACGUCCAGUCGGCGCGAGCCGAAGGAUAGUGCCACAGAAAUGGACCGCCGAUGGCCGACGCUUGCGUCGGAUCAGGCAAGGGUGGAACCGUGGUGUAAGAGACCACGAGCGGCGUUGGUGACAACGCGGCUGGUAAACCCCAUCUGGAGCAAGACCUAAGAGAACGCAGCAGCCUUUAUUGGCGGCAGCCCUAGCCCGGGGCGCGUUCGGGUUGGUCGCUUGAGCCUACUAGCAAUGGCAGGCCUAGAUAGAUGAUUGUCGCUUGACAGUGGGAGGGUCGUUCCCGUUUGCACCACGAAGAGCACAGAACCCGGCUUAUGGCAGACUUUCCGC